This 505-nucleotide ribosomal RNA is filed under the name bacterium enrichment culture clone ALO1_GLFRUDD03G03ZY. Its description in RNAcentral is "bacterial SSU rRNA". It matches the Rfam family "Bacterial small subunit ribosomal RNA", at positions 9 to 507 of the family's 1533-position model. The record is from RNAcentral.
GAGUUUGAUCCUGGCUCAGAUUGAACGCUGGCGGCAUGCCUUACACAUGCAAGUCGAACGGCAGCACGGGAGCUUGCUCCUGGUGGCGAGUGGCGAACGGGUGAGUAAUGCAUCGGAACGUAUCCUGGAGUGGGGGAUAACGUAGCGAAAGUUACGCUAAUACCGCAUAUUCUGUGAGCAGGAAAGCGGGGGACCUUCGGGCCUCGCGCUCUUGGAGCGGCCGAUGUCGGAUUAGCUAGUUGGUGAGGUAAAGGCUCACCAAGGCGACGAUCCGUAGCAGGUCUGAGAGGAUGAUCUGCCACACUGGAACUGAGACACGGUCCAGACUCCUACGGGAGGCAGCAGAGGGGAAUAUUGGACAAUGGGCGAAAGCCUGAUCCAGCCAUGCCGCGUGUGUGAAGAAGGUCUUCGGAUUGUAAAGCACUUUAAGUUGGGAGGAAGGGCAGUAAGUUAAUACCUUGCUGUUUUGACGUUACCGACAGAAUAAGCACCGGCUAACUCUGUG